This 253-nucleotide ribosomal RNA is filed under the name uncultured bacterium. Its description in RNAcentral is "partial 16S ribosomal RNA". It matches the Rfam family "Bacterial small subunit ribosomal RNA", at positions 524 to 776 of the family's 1533-position model. The record is from RNAcentral.
GACGUAGGGCGCGAGCGUUGUCCGGAUUUAUUGGGCGUAAAGAGCUCGUAGGCGGCUUGUUGCGUCGACCGUGAAAACCCGUGGCUCAACUACGGGCUUGCGGUCGAUACGGGCGGGCUGGAGUUCGGUAGGGGAGACUGGAAUUCCUGGUGUAGCGGUGAAAUGCGCAGAUAUCAGGAGGAACACCGGUGGCGAAGGCGGGUCUCUGGGCCGAUACUGACGCUGAGGAGCGAAAGCGUGGGGAGCAAACAGG